GAAACGCGAUAGUUAAUGUGAAUUGCAGAAUUCAGUGAAUCAUCGAGUCUUUGAACGCACAUUGCGCCCAUAGGUAUUCCUUUGGGCAUGUCUGUUUGAGCGUCAUUACAACCCUCAGCUAACCGCUGGUUUUGAACCUGAACGGGUGACACCGCGCCGGUUUUAAAGUUGUAAGCUCUCUGGCCGCUCUGCCCAACCAGAACAUAGUAAGCACUACUUGUCCGGGUGAAGCUGAACGGUACGGCCUGAACAAAACCUACCCACUCUCAAGGUUUGACCUCAGAUCAGACAAGGAUACCCGCUGAACUUAAGC
Molecule: unclassified non-coding RNA, 313 nt
Filed under: plant metagenome
Description: partial contains 5.8S ribosomal RNA, internal transcribed spacer 2, and large subunit ribosomal RNA
Rfam family: 5.8S ribosomal RNA (bases 1-105)
Source: RNAcentral